AUGUCAUUGAGCACGAGCUGUUUGGGGGAAGUUCAGCGCCUGCUUGAGGAGACUGACAUGUCGCCCGCUGACGUUGCAGAGAACCUGAUGCCCAUGUCGAAGAAGAAAAAGAGGGACCCCGACGUGUGCUUGAUAGGCCUCAUCAAGGCGCUCAAGCAGGCCAAGGAGGAAGCGGUGGCGGCCAAGGUGAAGGAGGUAGAGGAUGCUCAAGCGAAGAAAGUCAAGGAGAAAGAGGAGACACAGGUGAAGAAAGCCAAGGAGGAAGACAAAGCACCCGAGGCAGCCAAUGGGGAUAUUAAGCAAGGUGACAAGUGA
RNAcentral lists this ribosomal RNA (315 nucleotides) under Triticum aestivum (bread wheat). RNAcentral describes it as "partial small subunit ribosomal RNA". Lineage: Eukaryota; Viridiplantae; Streptophyta; Magnoliopsida; Poales; Poaceae. The record is from RNAcentral.